AUAUAUAAUUAUUUUUACAUCAACAUUAUUAUCUGGUUAUUAAGCAUCUAUCUGUCUUACCAAUAUAAUCACUAUUACAACUUUGACAUUUAAAAUGAUGCACAGCAGAGCUCCUAUAUUCCUUAGGGGUUUGAUCUUUAGUAGAUAUAAAAUGAGAGACAUUUUUGUACUGCCAUAAAGUUAUGGUGUUUCUUUUCUUUGUUUAAGCAUGUACAUAAAAUGAAUUCACCUGCCUUUCCUAGAUCUAACCUAGAUCAUAGUCAAGCAAUCAUCAGUAGGCCUAUGUAUACAUUUAGGUUCAUUUAAUUUAUUAAAGAGUACAUGGUUAACAACUUUUAAAGGGUACUCAUUCCAUUUUCUAAUGUUACAAAUUUCUGCUUGAGGUUUUAGGGAGUAUACAAUUUGUGUGCUCUUAAAACUAAACUACGAAUCCAAGAAAUCUUAAGGUUCCAUGGGGCAAAGCUAUCAUAAUGGAUAUAUUGACCUGUAUGUGUGUAUUUUUACGAUAUAUACUCAUGCUUCCUACGCUGUUGUCGAAUUGUAAAUCCAGAAAAUAGACUAUAUCACUGUUUUCAAAUAAUUCAAAGGUAAAAUUAAUCUGUUUAUGAAAAGAGUUAAAGUGGCGUAGAAUGUGAUGAAAAUUAUUAGGUUUAGCUAGCACAUGUCGUCAACCAAACGAGUAUAAAACUAAAUAAUACCUGAUUCUAUAAAUCUAGAAACAAUAGACUCUUUUAGAUCAGUCACUAAUAUAUUGGCUAAAACUGGUCCAAUGGGCGAGCCCAUUGAAACGCUGUCAGUUUGUUUAUAGAAUUCAUUAUUACACGUAAAUACAGUUUUAGUAAAGCAACGUAUUUUUCUUAACAUUAGUAGAUACCAAUUUCUUAUAGUAAACCCUAUCAAGAAUUAUAUUAAUUACCUUAGUAAGGGGAACAUUUUGUAAACAGAGAUGUAGGCUUGUAAGGAGUUAAGCUGUUUUUAAUGAACAGUAGACAAUUUCUUAAAUUUAGUUGGAUCAGAGAACAAGCUGAUCAUAAAUGUAAUAUAAUCAGAUUUCUUCAUUAUCGCAACACCAUUUCCUUUAUCAAGUCUAAGAAUUACAUAUUUAAUGCGUAGGAUUUUUAAAGUAUUAAUACGUUUGACAUCACAAUUUAAUUUGCGGUUAUCAAAAUCAAGAAAGUUACAUGUCAUGGCACGUAUUGAUUCUUAAUCUUUUCACGUUUAAUAAAUGAUUUAGGUGAGCAUCAGCAUAAUGAAGUAUAUUUUUAUAUGUUUGAUAUAAAACAUAUAUUUACGUUUUAUAUAAACACUCAAGCCAAAAGACCACCUGAAACUUAUGCUCAGAACCCCUUUGCCUUCGGUACCGUAUAUGCUAGCUAUGGGCCUGCAAUUCGUUAUAUGCAUGUAAUGAACAUAUAUAUUCCUGUUAACAAUAUAUGUGUUUCGUAGUUAUAUUAUGGGGGUAUAAAAUUAGUUAUACAGAAUCUAUAUGGCCAAAAUAAUAUUUUGGCAAUGUACUUGGAAAUGA
This is a long non-coding RNA of Anneissia japonica, 1525 nucleotides long. RefSeq lists it as uncharacterized. The transcript has 2 exons. The record is from RefSeq and is a predicted model, not a curated record. NCBI's taxonomy places the organism in Eukaryota, Metazoa, Echinodermata, Crinoidea, Comatulida, Comatulidae.